Long non-coding RNA from Ostrinia furnacalis (Asian corn borer), 482 nucleotides. RefSeq lists it as uncharacterized. The record is from RefSeq and is a predicted model, not a curated record. The transcript has 2 exons. Lineage: Eukaryota; Metazoa; Arthropoda; Insecta; Lepidoptera; Crambidae.
UACCCGGCCCUCACUACGCUCCCGUCCCGUCACCCUAUGUAUUUCAAAUCGGCUAGGUUAUAGUUUGUGCGCGCGACUCUAUCGUCCCGCACGAUCGUAGUCAGUUACGCGACGUACGAACAAUCUGUCGCUCCCGUGUUUAUUUUACACCAUAAUGUGACUUUUCUACAAAAUUGUGCGGAAAACCUUUUAUUCAUACCGUGAAGUGAUUAGAGGCUAGAGCUGUGAGUGUGGAGGUGAAAUUCGCGGUGUUUUGACGUGAAAAAACGCGGGAAGCAAGUGCAAUGCGUUUAUCGAUCUUUUGCAUUGGUGCAAUGUAUGAUAGCGCUACUUAUUCGGUAGUGAACAAAAUUUUAUAAUACAUUAAACAGUGAACGACUAUAUAAAAUUAAAAACCAAAGUAAUUGUGAUUCAAGAAGUACUGUGAUAUGAAGUGAUACCUAAAUGACUUUGAAGUGCCUAACUUUGGAUGAAAAUUAUAC